Molecule: long non-coding RNA, 565 nt
Filed under: Chinchilla lanigera (long-tailed chinchilla)
Lineage: Eukaryota; Metazoa; Chordata; Mammalia; Rodentia; Chinchillidae
Description: lncRNA (ENSCLAG00000027499.1)
Source: RNAcentral
UGAUUGUGAGGACCGCUGCCCUGAGGGCUGUAUAGCCAGCUGGGUCUUCAUGGAAGAGAAACCUUUCCAGGGAGCUGGGCAGCUUCCAGGGCCACCAGUCCUGUCCUGGCACCAUGCUGUAGAUGUCAUGACCUAAUGGCGGCUCACAGGAAGUGACCUCAUCAGUGUGCCUUUCAAGCCACACAGGAUGGGUCGGAGCCUGACACUGGGCCGGUCGCUCUGGUUUACACCAAAUCCAACCACUCGUGGCCUGCAGAUCCUCAGUAUAAAUAGCUGGAAAAGCCUGACCUUGACAACCUCAUUCUUCAUUCCUUUCUUGUUACAGGUGGAGCCAGCUAGAACCAUCAAUGCCCUGAAAGAACUAGGAAUUCCCUGAAACAACUCGAAACUUCCCAGAAAGCCCAGUGCACCCAGCCGUGUGCUGGAAACAAACAGACACAAUCCACAGGUUGCAGAAACCCGCUUGUUAAGUGGCGAAGGGAAACGUCCUCAGCCAGACAGCUGAAACUCAGGAAUGUCGCUCCGGAGAUCAGACCCACGAUCGGAAGCAGAGAAGAGGCCGAUA